AGUGACCCCUGUUGCUUCACCCCUGUGAGCUCGGGUCAACGAGAUCCUGAAAAAGACAGUGGCACAGUCCACUAAGUGGGUGAAGAGAUUUGUCUGGUUGAUUCCUAUAACAAACGAGACUCUAGCCUGCUAAUUAGUACGUCAGUCCUCUGUUCCUGUGCUGGCGGCGUUUUGGCGAAACUGCUCACAUCAGCCAACUACUUUCAGGCCACAAAUUUCUCUGCGCGCGUGUGCUGCGAGCCCCUCCCAGGGUGAGUGGUGUGCAUGCGUGUGGGGGCUUGGACUGUGGUAGGGCCUCCGGGUACGGCGCAGGUGUGUAGCCUCCGGGUACGGCGCAGGUGUGUCUACUUCUUAGAGGGACAAGCAUUACGAAUGUGCAUGAAAUUGAAUAAUAAGAGCUCUGUGAUGCCCGUAAAUGAUGAUGCCAACGAGUCUGACCUUCUGGCCCGAAAGAGUUGGGCAAACUGGUCAGUCACCGUCAUGACAGGGGUCGUGGCUUGGAAUUGUUCCCCGUGAAGGAGGAAUU
This 526-nucleotide non-coding RNA is filed under the name Schistocephalus solidus. RNAcentral's name for it is "Eukaryotic small subunit ribosomal RNA". It matches the Rfam family "Eukaryotic small subunit ribosomal RNA", at positions 1239 to 1612 of the family's 1831-position model. The record is from Rfam by way of RNAcentral. Lineage: Eukaryota; Metazoa; Platyhelminthes; Cestoda; Diphyllobothriidea; Diphyllobothriidae.